AACGAACGCUGGCGGCAUGCCUAACACAUGCAAGUCGAACGAGACCUUCGGGUCUAGUGGCGCACGGGUGCGUAACGCGUGGGAAUCUGCCCUUGGGUUCGGAAUAACUCGCCGAAAGGCGUGCUAAUACCGGAUGAUGACGUAAGUCCAAAGAUUUAUCGCCCAAGGAUGAGCCCGCGUUGGAUUAGCUAGUUGGUGAGGUAAAGGCUCACCAAGGCGACGAUCCAUAGCUGGUCUGAGAGGAUGAUCAGCCACACUGGGACUGAGACACGGCCCAGACUCCUACGGGAGGCAGCAGUGGGGAAUAUUGGACAAUGGGCGAAAGCCUGAUCCAGCAAUGCCGCGUGAGUGAUGAAGGCCUUAGGGUUGUAAAGCUCUUUUACCCGGGAUGAUAAUGACUGUACCGGGAGAAUAAGCUCCGGCUAACUCCGUG
This 433-nucleotide ribosomal RNA is filed under the name uncultured bacterium. RNAcentral describes it as "partial 16S ribosomal RNA". It matches the Rfam family "Bacterial small subunit ribosomal RNA", at positions 29 to 507 of the family's 1533-position model. The record is from RNAcentral.